AUGUUACAGCUUAUCCUCCCUGCCCUGUGCCCCCACCUCAGGACCAAGUGUUCCAGUUCUGCUGCCGUGAUUGCUGUGAGGACUUCAAGCGGCUUCGGGGUGUGGUGUCCCAGUGUGAGCACUGUCGGCAGGAGAAACUCUUGCAUGAGAAACUCCGAUUCAGCGGAGUGGAGAAGAGCUUCUGCAGCGAAGGCUGUGUGCUGCUGUACAAACAGGACUUCACUAAGAAGCUGGGCUUGUGCUGUAUCACUUGUACUUACUGCUCCCAGACUUGCCAGCGCGGAGUCACUGAGCAACUGGAUGGCAGCACCUGGGACUUCUGCAGUGAGGACUGUAAGAGCAAGUAGCUGCUGUGGUACUGCAAGGCUGCCCGGUGCCAUGCCUGUAAGCGCCAGGGGAAGCUGCUGGAGACCAUCCACUGGCGUGGGCAGAUCCGUCAUUUCUGCAACCAGCAGUGUCUUCUGCGCUUCUAUAGCCAGCAGAACCAACCCAACCUGGAUACCCAGAGUGGGCCCGAGAGCCUCCUGA
RNAcentral lists this long non-coding RNA (528 nucleotides) under Piliocolobus tephrosceles (Ugandan red Colobus). Its description in RNAcentral is "lncRNA (ENSPTEG00000001096.1)". The record is from RNAcentral. Lineage: Eukaryota; Metazoa; Chordata; Mammalia; Primates; Cercopithecidae.